GUCCUACGGGACGCAGCAGUGGGGAAUAUUGCACAAUGGGGGAAACCCUGAUGCAGCGACGCCGCGUGAGUGAAGAAGUAUUUCGGUAUGUAAAGCUCUAUCAGCAGGGAAGAAGUUGACGGUACCUGAGUAAGAAGCCCCGGCUAACUACGUGCCAGCAGCCGCGGUAAUACGUAGGGGGCAAGCGUUAUCCGGAUUUACUGGGUGUAAAGGGAGCGUAGACGGUGCAGCAAGUCUGGAGUGAAAGGCAGGGGCCCAACCCCUGGACUGCUCUGGAAACUGUUGUACUUGAGUGCAGGAGAGGG
This 305-nucleotide ribosomal RNA is filed under the name uncultured bacterium. RNAcentral describes it as "bacterial SSU rRNA". It matches the Rfam family "Bacterial small subunit ribosomal RNA", at positions 335 to 658 of the family's 1533-position model. The record is from RNAcentral.